This 2710-nucleotide long non-coding RNA is filed under the name Nothobranchius furzeri (turquoise killifish). Its description in RNAcentral is "lncRNA (ENSNFUG00015024843.1)". The record is from RNAcentral. Lineage: Eukaryota; Metazoa; Chordata; Actinopteri; Cyprinodontiformes; Nothobranchiidae.
AUCAAAGUGUCUGCAGGUUUUAACACAUCUGUCAAACCACAACCACUGGAAAGUAAAACACAAGCAUUAUAUAUUUAUCCCUGUAAAACUGUCGUCCAUUUAAUGACAAAGAAAAAGUCAUUGGUUCAGUGCUUUGUGUCAAAAACAUCCUGAAUAAUUCUCAUUUUAGCAUUACAAUCUAACCCACAAAUGAUUAUAAUGCAAGCAUUUUAACUAACGCAGUUUAGGGGGUUGUCUUUGGAAUUUCCACAUUUAUUGUGGGAGAAGCAGUUGAAGCAAGCUACAUUUUCAGGGACUCUAGGCUGUUUUGGCUUGCUUUUAGUCUGUUUAUAGAACCAAAAGCAAGACCUAUCUCCACUUUCAACUAGCAGGGGGAAGAAGCAGUUAUAGUUCGCUUUUAGCACCCUCUAGUGUCUGUUUGUAGAACCACAAGAAAAACCUAUCUCCUUGCAGUGCGUUUGUCUUGUUAACAGCGGAAAUGUCUCCCCAGCCUUCUCUUGAGCCAGUAUGUGCUAAAAUGAGCCUUUCCAGGGUCACUCAGUCCCUAUCGCCCUCUGUGGCCAGGAUAUUCCACUUGCAACUCCUGACUAGCGGGCCGCUCUGUGGAGCUGACACCUGGCCCUGCACAUAACUGAUUUGUUUAAAUUAGUAAUGAACAACUCCUGUAGACACUAAUGAAGGCUGGGGAAACAUUUCAGCUGUUAAAAAGACAAAUGCACAGCAAGGAGAAACGUUUUGCUUUCGGUUGUACAGACAAACACUAAGGGGUGCUAAAAACAAGCCAAAACUACUUAAUUCCCCUUUAAUGUUCCUGAUAUCCAGACAUCUUGUCUCUGAUUGGCUAACAGCAAUGAGACUCUCCCGUGGACUUCAUUCGCUCUGCAAUACUGAUGUGUGAUCUCCACAAAUACCACAAGUCUGAAGGAGUUCUGCCAUGUUGUGGAGUUUCUAAUGCCAACGUUAGCUUAUGCUAGCCAAGACGCACUCUCCUUGCUGCAAAAAUCAACACAGCCUUUCCCAGUCACGAGCCAUGGGCUUCCAUGAAUGACAAUGUUCAGUGCAACAUGGAUCUGUGCGCCUUUUUCUAAUCUGAGCGUUUCCGCGUCUAAGUCAAGUAAAAAAAUCCGUUUCUCAGUAAAAUUACUUUUUAAUAUGAGCUAAAUACUGUAUAUCUGACAAGGGACAUAUUAUGGAGCAUUUAACCUCUUAAUGAAUUUAAUAUACAUCUGAGAGUCUGAAGUCACAAACAACUUAAAGGUCCAGGUAAAUUCUACUCAUUUUGUGAGGAUUUCUAGGGAGAAAUACAACACAAUUCCACUUAGCUAAAGCAUUAAAUAAAUAUGCAUUCAAUAUACCUCAAAUUAUUUGGUUUUACUUUGCUCUUAACAGCAGACUAUUAUGAUAAUAACUUUCCUAUGCUUGUUUUUAUUUGAGAGGGCAGAACCUGAUAAUUACGUCACGCAAAUGUGAAAGAUAGAACAAGGUCACUUUGAGGGGCAACAGCCGGUUUGUUGCAUCAGAUCAAUACGUUUUGAGGAUUUUUCAAGGUCUGUGAAAAAAGACUGAGUCCAGAGGAUUCAUUUGGGAAUUCAGGUGAAGAACAUCUCAAUAAAUCACACUGACACUGUAAUUAAAAAGAGAGGAGGAUCUUCAAGAGGAAGGCCUUGAGCUGGUGUGGCCUUAUCUCUGUUUGUUUUUGAUCCUUAUCACCUUUUCCAAGUUGAAGAAAUGAUUUAAAAGAAGCUUAACUCUUGAAAACUGUCUUCACAUUCACCUCAAUGUUUGAAUUUUCUCUUGGCACCCUGCUGCUUUACCUUUUUUCUGGUGUCCUUUAUAUUUUCUGACAUGGAACAGUGUUCUAAGGGAAGCUCAAUAGAGAUGUAUGAACUCGUUGUCUAUCAUAAGACCUUAAAAACCCACAUACCAGUUUAAAAUGGACCAAAUAAAGUGUCUAUCAUGUCAGAUUUUGAAGGGUUUGCCUCAUUUAUAACUUUAUAUAUUUAGCAGCUUUUGUUGGGACCAGGAUCACAUCAAAAAACAUUUCUUUUUAUGAUCAGACUAAAUGUGGGAAAUGUCCUAGAAAGCAGAAUUUUGCAAAUGUUUUCCUGAUUUAGACACCAAGGUGGCUAAAUUAUUCAGAUCUCACUUGGUGCUUUUAGACAACUGGGUUCAUUUUUACUUUUCUGAACUGAGGUCACUUAACCCUUCACUGUAUUCUCUGUCAGCCUUCUCCCUUUCUGUUCCUCUCAUUCUCUGUCCAGACAGACACAAAUUGAGUUUGUUUUGGGCAAAUUUGCUAUUCCUGGAUGAAUUAAGCUCUAGCAAUGUGAUCUGAAUUCCCAUCAGUUGCUGUCAGACACAUCACGGGGUGUUUCUGACACCACUGGGUGUUUUAGUUGUUGUGAUUCUACUGUACACGGCAUAUUUCUGCAUGAAAACAAGGAAAGCAUUUUGUUUGCAGCUGCUCUGUGAUAUUUAAUUACACAGCCAAUUGAGAGAGCAGUAGUUUUUCAGAUUUGUGCAAUCUGUUCCCUGACAUAAAUAAGAUUAUACCUCCAUGAGAAGACUCAGUUAACUGAUGAGAGGUAAACUAAUCUCUUUCUCAUCACACAAGAAGAAAACAGAAUACAAACGUAUUCAGGAGUCAGAAGAAAUCAUUAAGUCUUUAGAGACACCCAUAGAAGAGGAGUUACUGAGCAAAUUACGUACG